RNAcentral lists this ribosomal RNA (272 nucleotides) under uncultured bacterium. RNAcentral describes it as "partial 16S ribosomal RNA". It matches the Rfam family "Bacterial small subunit ribosomal RNA", at positions 85 to 354 of the family's 1533-position model. The record is from RNAcentral.
CUGAUGGCGACCGGCGUACGGGUGAGUAACGCGUAUCCAACCUGCCCUUUACUAUGGGACAGCCCGUCGAAAAGGCGGAUUAAUACCGUAUGUUGUCAUGUUGAUGCAUAUUUUCAUGACCAAAGGCUUCGGCCGGUAAAGGAUGGGGAUGCGUCUGAUUAGCUUGCCGGCGGGGUAACGGCCCACCGGGGCGACGAUCAGUAGGGGUUCUGAGAGGAAGGUCCCCCACAUUGGAACUGAGACACGGUCCAAACUCCUACGGAAGGCAGCAG